GUCUAUGGCCACGCUACCCUGAACAAGCCCGAUCUCGUCUGAUCUCAGAAGCUAAGCAGGGUCGGUCCUGGUUAGUACUUGGAUGGGAGGCUACCUAGGAAGAUCAGGUGCUGUAGGCA
RNAcentral lists this ribosomal RNA (119 nucleotides) under Pteropus alecto (black flying fox). The record is from RNAcentral. Lineage: Eukaryota; Metazoa; Chordata; Mammalia; Chiroptera; Pteropodidae.